GCCUAACAAGUUUUUUUCCUUUAAAAUUAUGCUAUUUAUUUGACAUGAUAUAUAAACUCAAAGCAUUUUAUCAAGUUACUUCCUGCUCCCCCAUAAAUAGAAUAACUCUGGUUAAUUUGGUCAGCCCAAAUACAGUUUAACAAGUUUUGAGGGGAAAUGUUUGUCAUCUGUGUAAGGUUGUGCUGGUUUUCAUGGUGAAAUUGUGGUGUUCCUUCAUUGUGGCUAUUUUCCAGUAAAAAUUAUGAUGUUGUAUUUCAGCUACCUGUAAGAAGAAUCAAGAUAAAGAAUUCAUGAAUGAUAAAAACACUUUGAAAAGACUGGUGCAAAAAACAUCAUUAUAAAAUGUAAAAUGGAGAAGAAUGGUCUGAAGGGCCACCAUGCAGCCAUACGGCACAGGAUCUAGAUUAUGCACCACAGUGGUUCUGAAAUGUGGUCCCUGGUCCAGCAGCCUCAGCAUCACCUGCAAACUGGUUAGAGAUGGAAAUUCUCAUGUCCUUCUUCAGACCAACUACAUCAGAAACUGAGGAUGGGGCCCAGCAGUCCCUGUCCUAACAAGUUCUCCAGGUGACCCUGAUGCACACUCAAGUUUGGUACCACUGCACUGUGAUUUUUUGUUCUGAAUCUGAGGCCUGCUAUUGUGAAUCUGCCAUACUUAAAAAGAAAAAAGUUGGAAAGUCAUUUUCAACUAAAAAACAUUUCAAACAGAGGAAAUAGAAAAAAUAAAGGACUGAAGGCCAAUGUCUUGGCUGCAGAAGCAGCUAAUGCAUUUUAUUUUUAGACCGCAUCCGUUAUUUAUUUCUUUUCUUCCAAUCCCAGUAUCUUGGAAUUAGGCUUUAUUGUAUCAAAAAGAACAGUCACCCACAAUGCACUAGAACAACU
This 879-nucleotide long non-coding RNA is filed under the name Homo sapiens (human). Its description in RNAcentral is "HSALNT0343392". Lineage: Eukaryota; Metazoa; Chordata; Mammalia; Primates; Hominidae. The record is from RNAcentral.